This 224-nucleotide unclassified non-coding RNA is filed under the name plant metagenome. RNAcentral's name for it is "partial contains small subunit ribosomal RNA, internal transcribed spacer 1, and 5.8S ribosomal RNA". The record is from RNAcentral.
UCUCCGUUGGUGAACCAGCGGAGGGAUCAUUACAGGACUCGCAAGACUCCUUCACCCUGUGAACCUCACUACAAGCACGUUGCUUCGGCGGGUGUCCCGGCGGGGGUUUUCCCUCGCCGGGGCGCACAGCCCGCCGGCAGCCUACUAUACUCUGUCUCUUUGCGUUGGCACCUCGAGAAAAAACAAACAAGUUAAAACUUUCAACAACGGAUCUCUUGGUUCUG